GGUGUAGUGGCUUAAGGGGUAGAGUGCCUGCCUAAUAAGCACAAGGCCCUUGGUUCAAAUCCCAGCACCA
This 70-nucleotide transfer RNA is filed under the name Dipodomys ordii (Ord's kangaroo rat). It matches the Rfam family "tRNA". Rfam says of the family: Transfer RNA (tRNA) molecules are approximately 80 nucleotides in length. The record is from Rfam by way of RNAcentral. Lineage: Eukaryota; Metazoa; Chordata; Mammalia; Rodentia; Heteromyidae.